AGUUUGACUGUGGCUCAGAUUGAACGCUGGCGGACAGCUUUACACAUGUAAGCGAACGGCAGCACGGACUUCGGUCUGGUGGCGAGUGGCGAACGGGUGCAGUAAUGUAUCGGAACGUGCCUAGUAGCGGGGGAUAACUACGAAAGCGUAGCCAAUACCGACACACGACUUCGGGGGAAAGCGGGGGGACCCGGGCCUCGCACCACAGGGAGCGGCCGAUAUCGGAUUAGCUAGUUGGUGGGUAACGGCUCACCAAGGCGACGAUCCGUAGCCGGUUUGAGAGGACGACCAGCCACACUGGACUGAGACACGGCCCAGACUCCUACGGAGGCAGCAGUGGGGAAUUUUGACAAUGGGAGAACCCCAUCCAGCCAUCCUUGCGUGCGAUGAAGGCCUUCGGGUUGUAAAGCACCUCUUUGGCAGGAAAGAAACGGCACGGGAUAAUACCCCGUGCAACUGACGGUACCUGCAGAAUAAGCACCGGCUAACUACGUGCCAGCAGCCGCGGUAAUACGUAGGGUGCAAGCGUUAAUCGAAUUACUGGGCGUAAAGCGUGCGCAGGCGGCUCGGAAAGAAAGAUGAAUCCCAGAGCUUAACUUUGAACUGCAUUUUUAACUACCGAGCUGUAGAGGUAAGCCGUGAGGGAGGUGAAUUCGCGUGUAGCAGUGAAAUGCGUAGAUAUGUGGAGGAACACCGAUGGCGAAGGCAGCCUGGAUAACACUGACGCCUGCGUAUCGAAAGCGUGGGGAGCAAACAGGGAUUAGAUACCCUGGUAGUCCACGCCCUGGGUGAUGUCAACUAGCUGUUGGGGCCUUCGGGCCUUGGUAGCGCAGCUAACGCGUGAAGUUGACCGCCUGGGGAGUACGGUCGCAAGAUUAAAAUCCCAAAGGAAUUGACGGGGACCCGCACAAGCGGUGGAUGAUGUGGAUUAAUUCGAUGCAACGCGAAAAACCUUACCCACCCUUGACAUGUCUGGAAUCCCGAAGAGAUUUGGGAGUGCUCUUCGCAAGAGAACCGAACACAGGUGCUGCAUGGCUGUCGUCAGCUCGUGUCGUGAGAUGUUGGGUUAAGUCCCGCAACGAGCGCAACCCUUGUCAUUAGUUGCUACGAAAGGGCACUCUAAUGAGACUGCCGGUGACAAACCGGAGGAAGGGGAUGACGUCAAGUCCUCAUGGCCCCAGGGUAGGGCUUCACACGUCAUACAAUGGUCGGGACAGAGGGUCGCCAACCCCGCGAGGGGGAGCCAAUCCCAGAAACCCGAUCGUGGUCCGGAUCGCAGUCUGCAACUCGACUGCGUGAAGUCGGAAUCGCUAGUAAUCGCGGAUCGCGAUGUCAGGUGAAUACGUUCCCGGGUCUUGUACACACCGCCCGUCACACCAUGGAGUGGGUUUUACUCGGUAUAAAGCUAGCCUAACCGUAAGGAGGGCGAUUACCACGGUAGGAUUCAUGACUGGGGUGAAGUCGUACAGCGUAAC
RNAcentral lists this ribosomal RNA (1475 nucleotides) under uncultured Bordetella sp. Its description in RNAcentral is "partial 16S-23S ribosomal RNA intergenic spacer". It matches the Rfam family "Bacterial small subunit ribosomal RNA". Lineage: Bacteria; Pseudomonadati; Pseudomonadota; Betaproteobacteria; Burkholderiales; Alcaligenaceae. The record is from RNAcentral.